GAUGAACGCUGGCGGCGUGCCUAAUACAUGCAAGUCGAGCGAACAGACGAGGAGCUUGCUCCUCUGACGUUAGCGGCGGACGGGUGAGUAACACGUGGAUAACCUACCUAUAAGACUGGGAUAACUUCGGGAAACCGGAGCUAAUACCGGAUAAUAUAUUGAACCGCAUGGUUCAAUAGUGAAAGACGGUUUUGCUGUCACUUAUAGAUGUAUCCGCGCCGCAUUAGCUAGUUGGUAAGGUAACGGCUUACCAAGGCAACGAUGCGUAGCCGACCUGAGAGGGUGAUCGGCCACACUGGAACUGAGACACGGUCCAGACUCCUACGGGAGGCAGCAGUAGGGAAUCUUCCGCAAUGGGCGAAAGCCUGACGGAGCAACGCCGCGUGAGUGAUGAAGGUCUUCGGAUCGUAAAGCUCUGUUAUUAGGGAAGAACAAAUGUGUAAGUAACUAUGCACGUCUUGACGGUACCUAAUCAGAAAGCCACGGCUAACUACGUG
Molecule: ribosomal RNA, 497 nt
Filed under: uncultured bacterium
Lineage: Bacteria
Description: partial 16S ribosomal RNA
Rfam family: Bacterial small subunit ribosomal RNA
Source: RNAcentral